GACGAACGCUGGCGGCGUGCCUAAUACAUGCAAGUUGAGCGCUGAAGGUUGGUACUUGUACCAACUGGAUGAGCAGCGAACGGGUGAGUAACGCGUGGGGAAUCUGCCUUUGAGCGGGGGACAACAUUUGGAAACGAAUGCUAAUACCGCAUAAAAACUUUAAACACAAGUUUUAAGUUUGAAAGAUGCAAUUGCAUCACUCAAAGAUGAUCCCGCGUUGUAUUAGCUAGUUGGUGAGGUAAAGGCUCACCAAGGCGAUGAUACAUAGCCGACCUGAGAGGGUGAUCGGCCACAUUGGGACUGAGACACGGCCCAAACUCCUACGGGAGGCAGCAGUAGGGAAUCUUCGGCAAUGGACGGAAGUCUGACCGAGCAACGCCGCGUGAGUGAAGAAGGGUUUCGGAUCGUAAAACUCUGUUGGUAGAGAAGAACGUUGGUGAGAGUGGAAAGCUCAUCAAGUGACGGUAACUACCCAGAAAGGGACGGCUAACUACGUG
Molecule: ribosomal RNA, 497 nt
Filed under: uncultured bacterium
Lineage: Bacteria
Description: partial 16S ribosomal RNA
Rfam family: Bacterial small subunit ribosomal RNA
Source: RNAcentral